AGACUUUGAUCCUGGCUCAGGAUGAACGCUAGCGGCAGGCCUAAUACAUGCAAGUCGAACGGUAGAUGAUCUUUCGGGAUUAUUGAGAGUGGCGCACGGGUGCGUAACGCGUAUGCAACCUACCUUGUACUGGGGGAUAGCCCGGGGAAACUCGGAUUAAUACCCCAUGGUAUCAUAAAUAGGCAUCUGUUUAUGAUUAAAGAUUUAUUGGUAUGAGAUGGGCAUGCGUAGGAUUAGCUAGUUGGUAGGGUAAGGGCCUACCAGGGCGACGAUCCUUAGGGGUUCUGAGAGGAAGGUCCCCCACACUGGCACUGAGAUACGGGCCAGACUCCUACGGGAGGCAGCAGUAGGGAAUAUUGGGCAAUGGUCGGAAGACUGACCCAGCCAUGCCGCGUGCAGGAAGAAGGCCUUCUGGGUUGUAAACUGCUUUUAUCAGGGAAGAAAAGGCCCAUGCGUGGGACAUUGCCGGUACCUGAUGAAUAAGCACCGGCUA
RNAcentral lists this ribosomal RNA (493 nucleotides) under uncultured Flexibacteraceae bacterium. RNAcentral's name for it is "bacterial SSU rRNA". It matches the Rfam family "Bacterial small subunit ribosomal RNA", at positions 8 to 499 of the family's 1533-position model. The record is from RNAcentral. Lineage: Bacteria; Pseudomonadati; Bacteroidota; Cytophagia; Cytophagales; Cytophagaceae.